This 506-nucleotide ribosomal RNA is filed under the name uncultured bacterium. Its description in RNAcentral is "partial 16S ribosomal RNA". It matches the Rfam family "Bacterial small subunit ribosomal RNA", at positions 30 to 523 of the family's 1533-position model. The record is from RNAcentral.
AUUGAACGCUGGCGGCAGGCCUAACACAUGCAAGUCGAACGGUAACAGAAAGCAGCUUGCUGCUUUGCUGACGAGUGGCGGACGGGUGAGUAAUGUCUGGGAAACUGCCUGAUGGAGGGGGAUAACUACUGGAAACGGUAGCUAAUACCGCAUAACGUCGCAAGACCAAAGAGGGGGACCUUCGGGCCUCUUGCCAUCGGAUGUGCCCAGAUGGGAUUAGCUAGUAGGUGGGGUAACGGCUCACCUAGGCGACGAUCCCUAGCUGGUCUGAGAGGAUGACCAGCCACACUGGAACUGAGACACGGUCCAGACUCCUACGGGAGGCAGCAGUGGGGAAUAUUGCACAAUGGGCGCAAGCCUGAUGCAGCCAUGCCGCGUGUAUGAAGAAGGCCUUCGGGUUGUAAAGUACUUUCAGCGAGGAGGAAGGUGUUGAGGUUAAUAACCGCAGCAAUUGACGUUACUCGCAGAAGAAGCACCGGCUAACUCCGUGCCAGCCGCCGCGGUAA